Molecule: ribosomal RNA, 253 nt
Filed under: uncultured bacterium
Lineage: Bacteria
Description: partial 16S ribosomal RNA
Rfam family: Bacterial small subunit ribosomal RNA
Source: RNAcentral
UACGGAGGGUGCAAGCGUUAAUCGGAAUUACUGGGCGUAAAGCGCACGCAGGUGGCUGAGUCAGUCGAUUGUGAAAGCCCUGGGCUUAACCUGGGAAUUGCAGUCGAUACUACUCAGCUCGAGUAUGGGAGAGGGUAGUGGAAUUCCCGGUGUAGCGGUGAAAUGCGUAGAUAUCGGAAGGAACACCAGUGGCGAAAGCGGCUUCCUGGUCCAGCACCGACGUUCAGGCACGAAAGCGUGGGGAGCAAACAGG